Long non-coding RNA from Carassius carassius (crucian carp), 1084 nucleotides. RefSeq lists it as uncharacterized. The record is from RefSeq and is a predicted model, not a curated record. NCBI's taxonomy places the organism in Eukaryota, Metazoa, Chordata, Actinopteri, Cypriniformes, Cyprinidae. The transcript has 2 exons.
AAUUGAUGUCUGCAUAUUAAGAUGGGAUAGGAGAUUUUUUUCCAACAUUGAAAAAAUGACACUUCAGCAUUAAAGAUGGCUUGAGUUUUAGAAGUGAAAUUUAGAAGUCAAUUCCUAAUUCUAAAAUCUGCUAGUAGUAAUAUUCUUAUACAUAUAUGAUCUGUGAUACAGAUGUUGAAUUUCUAUGCAGCACAAUAUAAUUUCAGUGGUUAGAACAAGCUAUGAGAUUCAGAAACUGAUCUUAUUUUUUUGAUGAAACAGUGUAUCCCUUGGUUUCACUUUUGUCUUCCACAUAAAAUGUAUUUUCCAUUAUGCUUCCAUUGCUUAAUAUUCAUGCUAUAUUCGUAUCUGCUGUUGCAGUGCUAGUUUAAAGGUGUAAUACACAAUACAUCAGUUGAACCUGAUGCCCUAGUAUGCUGUUGAGCAAAUAGUUAAUAGAUCAUUCUGUUCAUCAUAUGAUAGGUCAUUUUAGCUCUCUGUGAAGUGAACAUGAUAAGUUAUUGUGCGUAUGGUCAACAACAGAUCUGAGUAACUUACUAUCGGCGUUAUUUUUUAUUUUUUGCAAUUUUUUUUAAAUGCUCCUUUGUUAAGUGUAUUCAGCUUUGUGUGGAGCCAUUGUUUCAGCUGGCGUCUUAUUGCUAUGCAUCAACAUGUUCUCUGAAGUGAGUUUAUGCCUUAAAGAGAGGAGGUAGUCUCAACGCCAUGCAUCAUUCAGUGGUAAAAAUGUUCAAAUGUUUGUACCUCAUUUGAAAUUCAUCAUUGAUUUAUGUAUUUUGUCAUUAGUAAUUGUAUUUAAAUGAUAAGGUGUUUUAUUUUGUUGUGUGAGUUUGUGAGCACUCUUUUUGUUUUGUUGUUGUUUGUUUGUUUUGUGGCAUUUGAGAGCAAGUGUACUUGUUAUAAUGAAGGCAUUUUUUAAUUACUGUAAACAUCUCAAGUGUUGUGAGUCAUGAUACCUGUGCAACAUGUGAAAUCUGAUUGCUGUUUUUUUUUUUUUUUUUAUAUUAAGCCAUGAGCUUUUAGUUCAUCUUUUGUGCAAUGGAAAAAAGAAAAGAAAAACAUAAUACAAUCUGAUCCAAAUUUGAAA